Long non-coding RNA from Megalobrama amblycephala (Wuchang bream), 649 nucleotides. RefSeq lists it as uncharacterized. The transcript is spliced from 2 exons. Lineage: Eukaryota; Metazoa; Chordata; Actinopteri; Cypriniformes; Xenocyprididae. The record is from RefSeq and is a predicted model, not a curated record.
UCUGUUUAGUCAAUCAGCAGAAGCGAGUGUCCUCAGUAGUUUGAGUGAUACUCCUGAACUAGAUUAAAUUAGAAUAGAGGAGAAUUGAUUUGAACAGAAACCUUCAAAGAUCUUUCAUGUUUUUGGUCGGUGGAGAUACAUUUUUUUCAGGGUUGUAAGAGAAAAUCUCCCGUGAAGCUCCUCCUGCUCUCAUCUGAGGGAGAGAAUUUCUGCAGAAUUCAUCUGAUGUGUUCAGGAACACCGGCGGCUUCCGUCAGAUCCGUGGAUGGAGAUGGUGCGGCACACCUGUGAUCCGCUGAUCUCUCAUCCGUCAUGUGGCUUCUGAAUUAUUAACCCAGAGGUCACAGGUCAGAGCAGAGGUCACAGGAACACUUCUGAGGAAGAAAUCUGAUGAGAUGCAGCAGGUUUCAGUGUUCGAACGAAACAAGAUGAAGGAGCAAAAACAUCAAACUCCAUCAUUAUAAUGAUGGUCCCUCUGGAGACAUGCAGUGUUUUCUGCUCCGAAGCUUUAAUGAAGUUCAUUUUCGGUCAAAUGAUCUCAAAGUCCUCAGGAGGAAUAAAAUCAGACUCAAAUGAGUCACUCGACACAGUAAAAUCAAAGAGUGGAAGCAGUUCAUAGCGAAAGUCUCAUUUAAUCUCGUUGCUGUCU